This 567-nucleotide ribosomal RNA is filed under the name uncultured bacterium. Its description in RNAcentral is "bacterial SSU rRNA". It matches the Rfam family "Bacterial small subunit ribosomal RNA", at positions 224 to 783 of the family's 1533-position model. The record is from RNAcentral.
GAUGAGCCCGCGGCCUAUCAGCUUGUUGGCGGGGUAACGGCCCACCAAGGCUAUGACGGGUAGCUGGUCUGAGAGGACGACCAGCCACACUGGAACUGAGACACGGUCCAGACACCUACGGGUGGCAGCAGUCGAGAAUUUUUCUCAAUGGGCGCAAGCCUGAAGGAGCGACGCCGCGUGGAGGAUGAAGGUCUUCGGAUUGUAAACUCCUGUCAUUCGAGAACAAGGUUCACCAAGUAACUACUGGAGAAUUUGAUAGUAUCGAAAGAGGAAGGGACGGCUAACUCUGUGCCAGCAGCCGCGGUAAUACAGAGGUCCCAAGCGUUGUUCGGAUUCAUUGGGCGUAAAGGGUGCGUAGGUGGCAUGGUAAGUCGGGUGUGAAAUCCCGGGGCUCAACCCCGGAACUGCACUCGAUACUACCGUGCUCGAGUACUGGAGAGGAGACUGGAAUUUACGGUGUAGCAGUGAAAUGCGUAGAUAUCGUAAGGAAGACCGGUGGCGAAAGCUAGUCUCUGGACAGUUACUGACACUGAGGCACGAAGGCCAGGGGAGCAAACGGGAUUAGAU